UAAAGGAUAAAUUGGUAAAUGAAUAAAAAUAACCCAUCAAAGUUUGUAUUUUCCUCUCGUAAAUUUAUCAAAAGUAGAUAAUCAUUAAAAGAAAAUAGCAUACUUGAGAAAUUGUCUGCACAGGUUGCGGAUGAAUGUCCAGGGUGAUCAUUGCGCCCUCUGCUUUGGGAUUUACAUGUCUAAAGACUUGGCUUUCUAAGGACGUCUGUUUCCUGGAGGUUUAAGGCUUGUUUUUUAGCUGAGAAAAAAAGUUAGUAAAAUAAAUGUAUACAUGCUAAAUGUCCCGUACACAUUUACCCUAAACAAAGACGUCGAAAGUCAAGCUUGUUUAGCCCAUUUGAUUAACUUCAACCAGCUUUAUGCCACAUGUAGACAUAAAGAGAUGUCGCUACUUAGAUGUUCUUUCUGGAUCCCCCUUUCGACCACCUCUCCUCGCUGUUCGUGCAUUUUCAGUGAUUGUUGCUCAAUGGGUGGCCGUUAUAAUCUAGGAUAAUAAUAAAAAUAUAUUUAUAACUGAAAGGCUAAACUUUGAGAGAGAGAAGCAGACAGAGUGGGUGGGAAUCAAACUGCUCUAUUUUAAAACAGACACGAGGGCUCUUUUUUUUUUCUUUUUCUUUAAUCACUCCAUGUGAUUUGUCUUAAUAUCUACGAUCACACACGGAGGGGAAGAUGGAGAUGAGUGGUUAGAGAGACCGCAGACACCGUCCUGGAUAUUAGACGCCCCACGCCCCAUCCGCCUCCCCUCCUCAAGGCUCCCAAAACCCUGACGCAUUACUUCAUGUGUAUUUAUUUUGUAUCGAUUCUAAUACACUUUAUUACGAUGAACCACAUAGGCGUAUUUAACCACACGAGUAUUUAAAGGUGCGCCACUUUAAAGCCGUUUUGGCGCAGGGGGGAAGGCUCACCUGUCUCCUUUUAGGGCUCCCUCCACGUGUGACUGCAUGUUUAUUGGUGCACGCUCAUGUAAAAUCACUUGCUUCUUUCUAAAGUCUCCCAUAAAUGAUGAUGACGGAUGGAGAUGGGUGAUGAUGUAUCAUGAUGUGGGGAAAACGAUGGACAUCAGCAAGGUCCGAGUUAAAAUAAGGAAAUAUCUGUUUAAUCAAUUCUGCAUUAAUUAGAUGGGCAGGCAGGGCAAAUCUCCCCCUAUGCGUCUUUGUGGUGAUGAGGGAAGAUGCCCGGUUUCCUCCCUUAAGACGCAGCCCAGCGCGCGCGUUUGUGUGUGUGUGUGUGUGUGUGUGUGUGUGAGAGUGAGCGCGUGCGUGUGCCUGUGUGGGUGCGUUUGUCUCAUUUUUGCCGAAAGUUCCAAAAGGCUCACUUGGCAGCGCUCACUCAAACUGUGAAAUUAAUUUGGCAAAAAUGCUGGUCGAUGCUGCUGGUGAUGGUGGUAGACUGAAGGUGCGUUAACAAUAAAACUCACACCCUGCGCGUUAUUUCUCCUCCAUUCUUUAUCAUCUUCCUCAUCUCCGUCGCCAUUCUCGCUGCCAUAAUCUUCCUCAUCAUCAUUUCCACCACACAAUGAUCCGCAGCCUACAUAUGCUCCAAAGUUUUCACAGGUAAAAAAGAACAAAAACAAAACAAAACAAAACAAAAAAAACUUGACAAAUCAUGUCAGUUGUGUUUCAGUAUGUCUUUACUAAGUUUUUGUUUCGGGCAUUUUGUAAACACUUUAUAAUACGAAAACACCUUCUGUUUCUCUACAGAUGAACACAAAUAAGGACUGCAUUUUGUUAAACAUCAGUACUUGCUCUCAUUUAACUGGCCUUUUAUGCGGCCCAGUGGUUAAUUUCUUUUCCCUAACAAAUGUACAGUGACCAUCAAAACACAGCCAGGUCAUAAAUAUGAAUUCCCACUAUGGGACUUCAAAAUUGCAAGUUUUUCAACUCACAUUAAAUCAACAGCUUUUGAUUUUUGUGCAUUUGGAUCAAUGACAUUAGAAAAGGCACAAAUGUUUUACAGAACAUGUUUGAAGAGGCAAUUUGGUUAAAAGCUUACUUGCAAAAUCAAGUAAAAACCAACAGUUUACUUAAAAUAACUCCGAUUAUUACUUAGUACCUAUUGUGAUGUCACCAGAGGCAUGUCAGCCUGGGUGAUGUAUUUUGUGGGACAGGAAUGUUUAAUUUUGAUUAAAUAAGGACUUUCAAAAAAAAAGCUUAACAAAUCAACCGUGUUGUAGCAACUGUAUGUAAAUUGGGUUUGGUUAGUUUAAAAAGUGUAGCUUUAAUGCAGACGUUUUGUAGAGUUUUGUUCAACUUAUUUUUAACAGAGUACAGUCUAUAUUUCCUUUCAUGUUCGGUUCACUUAAACCAGACACCAAAAAGAUAAUAAGUGUUUGAACAACUCCUCUCCUGCCGCAUACAGUCUGGAGUCUUUCACCUCCAAUUCGCAGCUCUCUCAGACCUUUUCUCAUGAAGAACACGCCGAAAAGAUAUGCUUUGGAGAACCCCCGCAUCCCCGCUUGAGAUUGCCACAGAUACCCCUCAUCUGACAUUUUCUGGUGUUUGAUGUUUUUUUUUUUCUUUGUUUUUUUUGGGUUGGGGGGGGGGGGUUGCCUUCGUUUCACAGUCUCUAUGUCCAGGAGAUGAGCAGAGAUCAGCGGGGAGCUUGAAAUCCACCCGGAAACAUGCAUCUGCAAAUGCAUACAUGCUGUAAAUGUGCAACUAGAACCCCGAACGCGACCUUCAAGAGAAAUUAAUUUUUAUUUCACCCCCUCCUCAGUGACCCCGCAGCGUCCCGGGACCUCACUUUGGGAACCGGUGAAGCCUGUAUGUCGGACUGUGAUCAUGGGGUUGAAUUAGAUUACAGGGAAAUUACCCUCCACCCUCCCACCCUCUACCUCCACACCCCACUCCGCUCCCUGUCCUCCCCAUCCUCUCUGACUGACCCCUGCAGGUCCCGGGACCCGCGGCUCCGGGGACUCAAGCCAGCCCCCCCUCCACCCUCCCACCCCCCGAACUAAUGAACAGCCAUAACACGUAAGAACUGGUGGCCGCCAAAAGACAGCGGCGUGCGGGCUGCUGUCAGAGCUGGCUGUGCGCACAGAAAUCGCUCAACCCUGUGAGAGGACAAAUCUUCACGGAGGGUCUCCGCAAAGAGAGAGAAAGAGAGACAGAGAUAGGAUGGGUGGGGGGUGUAGAGAUGUGGGGAGCGAAAAGGAAAUCGAUGUGGGGGAGCUACCGCCUGUUGCAGCGAGAUGGCGCUGUUCUGCAUGUUUCACCAGAGCGGUGCUUUCACCGUUUCUUCCUUUUCAGUCGUCUCCAUCUGGAUUUCCGCUUCUUCUUUUUUUUUUUUUUUUCUUUCUCAAACAAAAUAUUUUCCAUUGGAGUUUUUCUUUUAAUUAAUACAUUACUGGGAGAUAGUUUGAUUUUGGAAUUCUAGACACUUUAAUAUGUUUUUAAAGCAUACAAGAAAAAACAAAAAACAAAACUGGAAUUUAAACAUCGACCAUGAAGGGAAAGGUGCAAAUAUUUGUUUGGCUCUAAAAGAUAAAAGGAGCGCAAUUAUCUUCAAAUAUUUCGUUUUGUUUCGUUUUUUCUUCCUGUCUUUCUUUCCUUUUUUUCUUUCUUUCUUCUUUUCUUUCCUUUUUUCUUCCAUCUCCUUCAUUUUUUCUUUGUUUCUUUUUUACUUUCUUUCUCUUUCUUUAUGUCUUUCUUUCUUUCAAAAUAGUUGUUUAUCGAGCUUUAUUGCGACUUUAGGAUAGCCUUUAGAUUAAAAAAAAGUCAUUUUUACUUCUAAUUUAUCUUUUGAAUUUCGAUAAUGAAAUCCUAAAUGAUCAUUACUGUAGCAAUUCUCCUGCAGGACUUCCGCACUGCACGGGCAAGCAUUUAAAGAAACCAACAAAAUUAAAUAUGAUCCAAUAAGUAUACUUUACUUAUAAAGUAUACUUUAUAUGUGUAGUAAUAUCAAACUACAUGCGAUAUUAGUUUUCUUGUAAAUAUGUAAAUGUUCUUUUCAUCCCACUAGCAUAUAUUUUUCUUUUCUUUAUUUAUAUUACAAUUAUUCCUACACUGGAUUUUUUAAAUCUCUUUCUGCACUUAACAUAAAAUAAGCAUAUUUGGUCUAAACAACAAACAAAAAUAAAUAAAUGACCAAUUGCAAGAUUAAAACUCCUAUCAUAAAAAUAAAUAAUAAAGAGGGUAAAUUUGAUUCGAUUUGAAAUCAAAUCAAAUUUGAGGUACGUUGAAAAAUUUGUUUCUGUACCAAAAUUGCACAUAUUUUAAACUAAAAAUCUAAUUACUUCCAAAUUUGCUUGCCAUGUAGGUUUUUUAUGGGAGACUGGAAAGAAGAAGCAGUUGAAUGGAGACAGUUUAUGACGCACAAUGUUGUGGAUUCAGCGAUCAAACUCCCUGCAGCCUUGGUCAGUCCUCUGAACUUUACCACUACAUGUAAACAAGUUGUCAGAGAAUAAUCUUCUCUUCCCCCCCCCCCCCCCCCUUUUUUUCUCUCUUUUUAUUGGAAUGAAAAUUCAAUCUUCCAAGAUCAGAUUAGACGACUUUUUUUUUUUUUUCCUUCUACUUCUCCUCUCCUCUCUCCCGGUUCCUUGUCAUCGCUGGGGCUGGACUUUGGUGGACAAUAAUGCGGCAAUUGUCGAUGCUUUGUGACCCAUAAAAUUUGAGGGUGGCUAUUCUGGCUUUGCGAGGGGAGGCACCGUGCAAGCAAAAGCCCCUGCAACUCUGAGCAGAUCGGCGGAAAAAAAGCAGCUACAAUCAAAAAGAAAAGUGCACGUAUAUGAACAGGUGCCAUUAUGCAGGUAAUUUUGUUAUGAUGUAUGAUGGAGUGUAUUUAAAUCUAACCGCUGUUUGCCCAGAUCACGCAUUAAGGCAUAUUUGCAGAACAAUUUUAGAUGUUGUCCCUUCAAUAAACAAUAUUUUGUGUAAGGCUUCAAAGUGUUUUAAUGUAACAAGAAUUUUGAUUUGGCUUAAUUUGUUUUUAAAGUAAAAGAAAAGGCUGUCUCUGCAAAUUCGAAAGAAAAUAAAUUAACUGACCUCACUCGGAUUUUCGUGUAAAUCGGAGAAUUUGUAACGUAUUUCACUAAAACGUUGUUUUAUUCCGUAAACAUGCAAAAAAUAAAAUAAAAAUAAUGAAUAAAUCUCCAAAUGUGUCCUAUUUGCUGUUGUUUAGUACAAUUUUUCUUGAUGAUUAAUAAAACGCAAUACAUAUCUUGCUGUUGAGGUGUGCAAUACAUUGGAUUUGUCUUUUUUUUUUUUUUUUAACCUUUCCGUGUGCGUGUGUGUGUAUGCACAUAAUAAACACUUGUGCUGCCUGACAGAGGUGCGAAUCUGAGAGCUUUUCCACCAAAUGAAGUGCCAGCAGAAAGAGAAAUAAAGAGAUCUGCAGCUGUCAGGGGUCAGGCAGGGAGAGAUUGCUUCUAGAGAUCUUUUGAAAAAAAUCACACGUUUGAAGGCUUAGAGCUUUGCUGUCUCCGCAUUUCAAGCUCAGAUCAGUGGAAUCAGGGGAGGAAAAAAAAAAGGAAGAACAUGGGUUGGGGAAUUCUGAUGUUGGGAUGGACACGGGAAGAGUGCUGUUUGGAGGUCUGUUUUAUGUACCUGAUCCUUUAGUGAGGGGAAGAAAGACAAGCCGAGUGUUUUGUUCUGUGUGUUGGAACAACAGUGUUUCUAAUGUCCGGGUGUGUAAAAAAGAAUCCUGUGUGCAGAAAUCUGCUCUGCUGCCGCCUCAAAUUUGAAGCGAGUCUCGACAGAAGAGCUAAAAGAAGCAACUCUGGACCCUUAAGUGUUUCGCAAUUUCUGUUUUGACGUUAUAGAAUAAUAAUUUUUAAAAAAUGAUAGUUUUUGCUCUAUUGCCAUUCUGAAUUUGAUCCCUGUUAAGUAAUAGAAAUGCAAAUAAAUGACUCCAGAAUUAGUUGAAAUGCGGAACUCUGAGUCCAACUUUAUUUUGUUGAGAUGAGGAGCGACUUCUGGUCCUUUUGUGGUUCAUGAUCGAAGCAGAACCGCAGUUUGGUCGAUAAUAUAGAGGGGGCACAGUUGGUGAGGUUUUGACAAAUCGAUCGAACAUUUAAUCAUGUAUUUCAAUAUUCCAGACAAUUUAAUUAUCCGUUAUGAUCAUAAAACUUAAGGAAAUAUUGGUAAGUAUCGGGAGUCAUAAAAAAAAACCAACAAAAAAAACUGUUUUGUUGAUAUUUAUUACUUUGAAGAAACUUCAUGAAAAUAAUGCAUGGUUGUAGGUGUAGAUUUUAAAUGGAAGGGUGUCUCGAUGUGAAGUCUGAAAAUGAUGAUGUUUGGGAGUUACCUUAGAAAUGAGAAAGAAAUCAAAACUUAAAUGUUUAAAAAUGCAUUUUUCAUUCUGCUGGCGUGCAAAAUAAAACUUCAUCUUAGACA
Molecule: long non-coding RNA, 6332 nt
Organism: Xiphophorus couchianus (Monterrey platyfish)
Lineage: Eukaryota; Metazoa; Chordata; Actinopteri; Cyprinodontiformes; Poeciliidae
Exons: 2
Source: RefSeq, a predicted model, not a curated record